UUAAAUCUGGUUUGUUUUUAUUUAUUUACAUUUAAUUGCAUUUAAUUUAAAACACAUUUAAAAGUUUUUCUUUAAUAUUUGUAUCAUAUUUGUAUCUUUGAUUUAAUAUUUGUAGUAAUCCUGUGUUCUGUGUUUCUUUCUAAAUCAACAUUUUGUUCUGUAUGGUUCUGUAUUUGUAAAUUUGAGUUAAAAUUGAGUAUAGAUCUAAUAAUUUUAGUGUUCAUUUUUUUCAUUUUUUUACGCCUCAAUUGUGUUUUUCUUCAAUGACUAUUAUUACUAACCAUCAUGAUUUAGAUAAAUUAAAAAAAUGUUAAUAACUCUACAUGAAAGUUAUUGGUUACCAAGUUAUCAAUCCUACACAUGAGGAAUUCAAAAUGUAUCCUGUUCAAAAGAAUCCUACAAAAGGAUCUUCAUCAGAACAAUUAUCUUUGGAAAAUUAUGGUAUUGAUAAUUCAUUAGAAAGUAUCAAUGAAAGUAUUAUCAAUGAUCCCAUUAAAAGACAAAAUAAUUUGGAUACUUUCUAUCCCUGUGAAAAGAGAUUAAAAUUGGAUAGAAUCAAAUCUCCCUCUAGUCAAAAUAGUAAUAUGUCCAGUGCUGAUAUUUUUGAAGAUACAUUAGAAAAUUUAAACAUAUCUGAUAUUUAUAAAAGUAAUACUACAGAUUCCAAUGUCCGAUAUAGUAACAGAACCAGUGAUUCAUUAAGCCAUCAGCAGACUAUAUUUCAAGAUGGAUUUUCUCAAGCAUUUAAUACACAAGUCAUAAAUCAUAUAGACACAGUUAUAAGCAUUGAAGAGGAGAAUAUUAACCAAAAGUUAGAUAUGAAAACAAACAAUAACAAACCUAAUCAGGUAGAUAAUUCUAAGCAAAAAACUUUAUUAGAAAGUUUACCAAAUCAAAUUCAUAACAGAUCAUUAUUAUUUAGUAAUAAAAAAGUAACAUUAGGCUACAAAAAAGAAGUUGAUGAUAUUUUUGAACAAAUAGAACAUUACAUUAGUACAUAUGGUACUAAUACAGGUGGUGAACAUACAAUUCCUGACAAAAUUUUAGAUGAUUUUUUUUCAAGUAAUCUAAAUACAACAUUAGAUAUAAAUAUUAAUGGACCACAGUUUUUUGAAAAGCAAAUACAUGAAAAGCUUCAUGGCAGUUUGAUGGCUAGUAGUUCAAGAGAUGACAGUUUACUUAAUAUUGCGGAAUCUAGCUUUGGAACUGCCCUCAAACAAACUUUGCUGAAAAAUGUUAGUAAAAAUAUGCAGUCAAACAGGGAGAAGACUCUAGAUCUAUCUUUAAGUCAUAGUUUUUCUGAACCACCUUCAAAAUUUUACAAAUUAGGGGAUUUUUAUGACCUACCAGAUAAAGUAGCAAAUUUAAUAAAGCAAUAUAAAGGAAUUGAUAAAUUAUAUGAUUGGCAGAAUGAAUGUUUAAAUUUAGCAAUUCAAAAUAGAAACAACUUGAUAUAUACACUACCUACUAGUGGUGGUAAAACCUUAGUAGCCGAAAUUCUUAUGCUAAGAGAAUUAUUAUGUUUCCAACAAAAUGCUAUUUUUAUUUUGCCAUAUAUAGCAAUUGUUCAAGAAAAGGUGUGGGACUUCUCUCCGUUUGGCGUUGCAUUGGAUUUUUUAGUAGAGGAAUAUGCAUCCAGUAAAGGUGUAUAUCCACCGCGAAAACGAAGAAGGAAACAUUCUGUAUAUAUAGCUACAAUUGAAAAGGCUUUAGGAUUAGUUAACAGUCUUAUAGAAACAAACAGACUGAAUGAAAUAGGACUUGUAGUCAUUGAUGAAUUACAUUUAAUAGGAGAUCAAGGCAGAGGAGCAGUUUUAGAAACUCUUCUAACAAAAUUAAUGUUUUUAAACGCAAACAUUCAAAUCAUUGGUAUGAGCGCCACUAUCGGAAAUAUUAAAGAUAUUUGUGAUUUUUUAAAAGCGAAAGUAUACGCUAAAGAUUUUAGGCCCGUUGAUCUUAUGGAAUAUGUUAAAUGUGGAACGGAAAUGGCUAAAAUCAACUGGAAUUGUAAAAACGAGGAAGAUCUCUUCACCAAUAUAAAGAAUGUUGAUUAUAAUUAUUCAGAGUCGUUCAAACAGCUGGAUCCUGAUAUGCUAUGUGGUUUAGCUUUAGAAAUUAUUCCAAAGGAUUCUUGUCUGAUAUUUUGCGCUUCAAAAAAGAACUGCGAGAAUGUGGUUAAUCUUUUAUGUAAAUUAGCUAGACCAGACUUAAAAAAUCACAGAAAAGUGGAAAAAGAUCAACUUUUACAAGCCUUGAAAUCAGAAGCCGGCGAACUUUGUGAUAUAUUAAAACUGUCUGUUCCAUUUGGUUUUGCUUAUCAUCAUUCCGGGUUGACCGGUGAUGAGAGAAGACUCUUAGAAGACGCGUUUAGAUCUGGAACGAUAUGUGUCAUUUGUUGUACUUCUACGUUAGCAGCAGGUGUCAAUUUACCAGCGAGAAGGGUAAUUAUUAGAUCCCCUUAUGUAGGCAGGGAAUUUAUUACUCUGUCAAAGUACAAACAAAUGGCAGGCAGAGCUGGUCGAGCGGGGUUGGGAGAAACAGGCGAAAGCAUUAUAAUAGCACAAACAUCUGAUAUGCCAAAGGUCAAAAAACUUCUGUUGAGUCCAAUGAAUCAAGCAAUAUCAAGCUUACAUGAAUUAGAUGGCAGGGGUUUAAGGCAUUUGCUCUUGAGUUGCAUAAGUUUGGGAAUAGCAAACACAAGAUCACAAUUACAAAAUGUAUCCAACUCCACUCUGAUGGCCGUACAGAUCGAAAAAUUAAACGUCAACAUUAAAAAACUAACCGAUAACGUUAUAAAAAGUCUAUUUAAAUUAGGCGCUUUAGAGGAAAGUUGUUCAAAAGGAAAAGAAACAGAUCUAGGGCUUAACAUCUCCGUCAAACUGGAUACGUCAUCGGUUGGAUUAAGCAGUAGUCCCUUUAACACACCCUUAACAGAUGUUGCCAGCAAUCCUACUAAACCUAAAAGAUCUGUUGUCUUAACCAGCAAUACAAAAUUGGUCGUCAGCAAUUUGGGUUGUGCAGCAAUAAAAGGUGGUUUAGAACUAUCUAGGGCUCACCAGCUUUAUGAUGAUCUUUAUAAGGCCCAAAAGAGUUUGGUUUUAUUGAAUUGUUUACAUUUACUAUACCUGGUAACACCAUAUGAGACUUCAGACCAAGUGAGACCUAAUAUACAAAUUUAUCAUGAAGUGCUUACACAGUUAGAUGAAAAAGAACAGCAAACUUCUAGAAUAUUGGGAUUUGAUGAAGGUGUUAUAUUAAAAAUGACAACUGGACAGGUGCCAAAGAUUUAUAUACUUUGCUUAAAAUCAGUUAUAAAAUAAACAAAAAUACAAAUUUACACAAAAAGCGCAACAAACUCAAAAGUCAUUUUUUGGUAUUAUAAUUCGAAAAGAUAAACAACAAAUACCAGAAAGAGUCCUCAAUAGGUUUUAUGUGACGCUUAUUCUUUAUGAUUUAUGGAAAGAAUCCCCCGUUUUCAAAGUGUCUAACAAAUUUCAA
This 3498-nucleotide unclassified non-coding RNA is filed under the name Sitophilus oryzae (rice weevil). Its description in RNAcentral is "helicase POLQ-like, transcript variant X2". Lineage: Eukaryota; Metazoa; Arthropoda; Insecta; Coleoptera; Curculionidae. The record is from RNAcentral.